RNAcentral lists this ribosomal RNA (915 nucleotides) under uncultured bacterium. RNAcentral describes it as "bacterial SSU rRNA". It matches the Rfam family "Bacterial small subunit ribosomal RNA", at positions 54 to 964 of the family's 1533-position model. The record is from RNAcentral.
CAUGCAGUCGAACGGAAACGAUACUAGCUUGCUAGUAGGCGUCGAGUGGCGGACGGGUGAGUAACGCGUAGGAAUCUGCCUGAUAGUGGGGGAUAGCCCGAAGAAAUUCGGAUUAAUACCGCAUAAUCUAUUCGUAGUAAAGUGGGGGACUUUCGAGCCUCACGCUAUCAGAUGAGCCUGCGUAAGAUUAGCUUGUUGGUAGGGUAAAAGCCUACCAAGGCGACGAUCUUUAGCUGGUCUGAGAGGAUGAUCAGCCACAUCGGGACUGAGACACGGCCCGAACUCCUACGGGAGGCAGCAGUGGGGAAUAUUGGACAAUGGGGGCAACCCUGAUCCAGCAAUACCGCGUGUGUGAAGAAGGCCUGAGGGUUGUAAAGCACUUUCAAUUGUGAAGAAAAGUUAACGGUUAAUAACCGUUAGCCUUGACGUUAACUUUAGAAGAAGCACCGGCUAACUCCGUGCCAGCAGCCGCGGUAAUACGGAGGGUGCAAGCGUUAAUCGGAAUUACUGGGCGUAAAGCGUGCGUAGGCGGUUUAUUAAGUCAGAUGUGAAAGCCCCGGGCUUAACCUGGGAACUGCAUUUGAAACUGGUCAACUAGAGUAUGGUAGAGGAAAGUGGAAUUUCUGGUGUAGCGGUGAAAUGCGUAGAUAUCAGAAGGAACAUCAAUGGCGAAGGCAGCUUUCUGGACCAAUACUGACGCUGAGGUACGAAAGCGUGGGUAGCAAACAGGAUUAGAUACCCUGGUAGUCCACGCCGUAAACGAUGAUAACUAGCCGUUGGGGGGAUUUACCCUUUAGUGGCGAAGCUAACGCGUUAAGUUAUCCGCCUGGGGAGUACGGCCGCAAGGUUAAAACUCAAAGGAAUUGACGGGGACCCGCACAAGCGGUGGAGCAUGUGUUUAUUCGAUGCACGCGA